GGCCAACAUGACUAUGUACGCGAGCCACAUGUAUUAAUAAAAUUAUAUCAAGAGCCAAAUUAUCUAAUGUGUACUUUUAUACCACAAAAGUAAUAAAGAUAGCAAACAGCCGAUAAACAUAUCAAAUUACGAAAUAUGAAAUUAUAUCGUUUUUAAUAUAGUCUGUAGUCUGUGUUGAAUAGUCCUAUUGUAAACACCUCAAUUUUUUUUGUAAAAUAUUUGUAAUAUUUAAUAAUUAUAUUUGUAAUAUUUUACCGAUACUUAUUGCGAAAGUUAGUUACAAUGUCAAUUUCUAAUAAAGCGGUUAAACGUAAAUAUGAAGAAGAAAAACGGGAAUUUAAAUUAGAAUGGGAAGAACUAUACUUUUUCAUACAGAAAAACGAUAAACCAUUUUGUGUCAUAUGUCAAGUUACAUUAUCACAGUUUAAGGUAAUAUGAAGAUAAAAUUAUUAACAAAUGAAUCAAUGUGGAUAUAUCCACCUUGAAAUGAAUUGAACCAUGCCAAUAAUUUUAUCAAUUUCGACUUACAUCAUCGCAAUAGAUGUCAACGUAUUUAAUGUGAGAAGGUACGUGGCAAUGCGAGUACUUAGCAGGUAAAAAAAAAAAAACUGGAGGAGUUUACAUAUACCCAUUACAGGUAAGAAUUUGCAGGAGCUAAGAAUUACAGGUAAACUGGUGGAGUUUACACUAGACCUUUAAUUAUAUUUUUAUCUUAACCGAUAUUCUAGUGGAGUUUACAAUCACCCAAAUGGAAUAUACAUUCAGGAUUUAGCCGGUUUGGGACAACUAAACACCAUAAUAUUUAAAAAUCAAAAUCAAGGGGGCCAGUUCGGGGCCACUGAUUUUUCAUAAGGGGCCAGGCCCUCUAAGGCCCCCUCCCUUGACGAUGUGCCUGCGAGCGUUAUCUAUCUUUAACGAUUAAAGAUAUUAUUAUUACUUCUGCAGCUUACGUUACUGUUAAUUGUUCUUUAUAAGUUUAUUUAUAAAACAAAUACAAUAUGGACGUGGACAAUUUCAUGAAGUCUGAUUUCCUAGCUUCAUUUAUUGAUAUUUAUUGAUAUA
This is an RNA transcript of Sipha flava (yellow sugarcane aphid), 1062 nucleotides long. It is a transcript of the gene named general transcription factor II-I repeat domain-containing protein 2-like, with no coding region annotated. The transcript is spliced from 2 exons. The record is from RefSeq and is a predicted model, not a curated record. NCBI's taxonomy places the organism in Eukaryota, Metazoa, Arthropoda, Insecta, Hemiptera, Aphididae.